Molecule: ribosomal RNA, 450 nt
Filed under: uncultured bacterium
Lineage: Bacteria
Description: partial 16S ribosomal RNA
Rfam family: Bacterial small subunit ribosomal RNA
Source: RNAcentral
GUGGGGAAUAUUGGACAAUGGGCGAAAGCCUGAUCCAGCCAUGCCGCGUGUGUGAAGAAGGUCUUCGGAUUGUAAAGCACUUUAAGUUGGGAGGAAGGGUAGUAACCUAAUACGUUGCUACUUUGACGUUACCGACAGAAUAAGCACCGGCUAACUUCGUGCCAGCAGCCGCGGUAAUACGAAGGGUGCAAGCGUUAAUCGGAAUUACUGGGCGUAAAGCGCGCGUAGGUGGUUCAGUAAGUUGGAAGUGAAAUCCCCGGGCUCAACCUGGGGACUGCGUUCAAAACUGCUGAGCUAGAGUACGGUAGAGGGUGGUGGAAUUUCCUGUGUAGCGGUGAAAUGCGUAGAUAUAGGAAGGAACACCAGUGGCGAAGGCGACCACCUGGACUGAUACUGACACUGAGGUGCGAAAGCGUGGGGAGCAAACAGGAUUAGAUACCCGAGUAGUCC